CCUAGGAUAAGGAAUGCUUUUUCCAAAUCCUUUAUGGAGAACAAUGAUAACAGUGAAACUUUUAUUCUCUGUAAUAUAAGGAAUGUCAUUCUCGAUUAAAAAAAUUUCAUUCACAUACAAAAUAAAAAAUACACUCAUAGAACUAUUAAUCCAUUUAUAUUUAUAGGAUUCUUCUUCGUUCUCAAUGAAGCUAUGUAUUUUGAUCAUUUAUCAAAAUGCAUGUUUCAACUCUGAAAUAUU
This 240-nucleotide long non-coding RNA is filed under the name Elaeis guineensis (African oil palm). Its description in RNAcentral is "long non-coding RNA (EGUI_LNC048332)". Lineage: Eukaryota; Viridiplantae; Streptophyta; Magnoliopsida; Arecales; Arecaceae. The record is from RNAcentral.